UUUCCAGAGAUGGAUUGGUGCCUUCGGGAACUCUGAGACAGGUGCUGCAUGGCUGUCGUCAGCUCGUGUUGUGAAAUGUUCGGGUUAAGUCCCGCAACGAGCGCAACCCUUAUCCUUUGUUGCCAGCGGUCCGGCCGGGAACUCAAAGGAGACUGCCAGUGAUAAACUGGAGGAAGGUGGGGAUGACGUCAAGUCAUCAUGGCCCUUACGAGUAGGGCUACACACGUGCUACAAUGGCGCAUACAAAGAGAAGCGACCUCGCGAGAGCAAGCGGACCUCAUAAAGUGCGUCGUAGUCCGGAUUGGAGUCUGCAACUCGACUCCAUGAAGUCGGAAUCGCUAGUAAUCGUAGAUCAGAAUGCUACGGUGAAUACGUUCCCGGGCCUUGUACACACCGCCCGUCACACCAUGGGAGUGGGUUGCAAAAGAAGUAGGUAGCUUAACCUUCGGGAGGGCGCUUACCACUUUGUGAUUCAUGACUGGGGUGAAGUCGUAACAAGGUAGGCGUAGUGCU
RNAcentral lists this ribosomal RNA (513 nucleotides) under uncultured bacterium. RNAcentral describes it as "bacterial SSU rRNA". It matches the Rfam family "Bacterial small subunit ribosomal RNA", at positions 997 to 1509 of the family's 1533-position model. The record is from RNAcentral.